AUUGAACGCUGGCGGCAGGCCUAACACAUGCAAGUCGAGCGGAUGAAGGGAGCUUGCUCCUGGAUUCAGCGGCGGACGGGUGAGUAAUGCCUAGGAAUCUGCCUGGUAGUGGGGGAUAACGUCCGGAAACGGGCGCUAAUACCGCAUACGUCCUGAGGGAGAAAGUGGGGGAUCUUCGGACCUCACGCUAUCAGAUGAGCCUAGGUCAGAUUAGCUAGUUGGUGGGGUAAAGGCCUACCAAGGCGACGAUCCGUAACUGGUCUGAAAGGAUGAUCAGUCACACUGGAACUGAGACACGGUCCAGACUCCUACGGGAGGCAGCAGUGGGGAAUAUUGGACAAUGGGCGAAAGCCUGAUCCAGCCAUGCCGCGUGUGUGAAGAAGGUCUUCGGAUUGUAAAGCACUUUAAGUUGGGGGGAAGGGCAGUAAGUUAAUACCUUGCUGUUUUGACGUUACCAACAGAAUAAGCACCGGCUAACUUCGUG
Molecule: ribosomal RNA, 484 nt
Filed under: uncultured bacterium
Lineage: Bacteria
Description: partial 16S ribosomal RNA
Rfam family: Bacterial small subunit ribosomal RNA
Source: RNAcentral